RNAcentral lists this ribosomal RNA (273 nucleotides) under uncultured bacterium. Its description in RNAcentral is "partial 16S ribosomal RNA". It matches the Rfam family "Bacterial small subunit ribosomal RNA", at positions 524 to 796 of the family's 1533-position model. The record is from RNAcentral.
UACGUAGGGUGCAAGCGUUAAUCGGAAUUACUGGGCGUAAAGCGUGCGCAGGCGGUUUUGUAAGUCUGACGUGAAAUCCCCGGGCUCAACCUGGGAAUUGCGUUGGAGACUGCAAGGCUAGAAUCUGGCAGAGGGGGGUAGAAUUCCACGUGUAGCAGUGAAAUGCGUAGAGAUGUGGAGGAACACCGAUGGCGAAGGCAGCCCCCUGGGUCAAGAUUGACGCUCAUGCACGAAAGCGUGGGGAGCAAACAGGAUGAGAAAACCUCGUAGUCC